Molecule: ribosomal RNA, 448 nt
Filed under: uncultured bacterium
Lineage: Bacteria
Description: SSU rRNA
Rfam family: Bacterial small subunit ribosomal RNA
Source: RNAcentral
AGAGCGAACGCUGGCGGCAGGCUUAACACGUGCAAGUCGAGCGGGCGUAGCAAUACGUCAGCGGCAGACGGGUGAGUAACGCGUGGGAACGUACCUUUUGGUUCGGAACAACACAGGGAAACUUGUGCCAAUACCGGAUAAGCCCUUACGGGGAAAGAUUUAUCGCCGAAAGAUCGGCCCGCGUCUGAUUAGCUAGUUGGUGAGGUAACGGCUCACCAAGGCGACGAUCAGUAGCUGGUCUGAGAGGAUGAUCAGCCACAUUGGGACUGAGACACGGCCCAAACUCCUACGGGAGGCAGCAGUGGGGAAUAUUGGACAAUGGGCGAAAGCCUGAUCCAGCCAUGCCGCGUGAGUGAUGAAGGCCCUAGGGUUGUAAAGCUCUUUUGUGCGGGAAGAUAAUGACGGUACCGCAAGAAUAAGCCCCGGCUAACUUCGCGCCAGCAGCCGC